UGGCCGCAGCCGUCGCCGACCUCUCGCCCCUGCUGGCCUUCUCCAUACUGCUCAACAGCGUCCAGCCCGUGCUGUCAGGUGUCGCUGUUGGUGCCGGUUGGCAAGGCGUAGUCGCGUACGUCAACGUCACGUCGUACUACCUGAUCGGCAUUCCUCUUGGCGCAGUCCUAGGCUACGUGGUGGGGCUUCAUGUGAAGGUGAGGUGCUCUCAGAGCCUGGUAUAUAUACAUGUCCCAUGCAUGCAUGGUGUGUCUCUUAUUAUUAGUGCAUCCAGCUCGGCUCUAAUAAGUUGUCGAAAUGGACAUGUAUAUAUAUGGACAGGGCAUUUGGAUCGGAAUGCUGCUCGGAACGCUGGUCCAGACUAUCGUGCUUCUCUUCAUAACAGUAAAGACCGACUGGGACAAACAGGUUUGCUGCUUGCUCAGUGCGUGUGCGUUGUGCGUUGUGCUGUGGCUGAACAACUACAGUCUUAGCCGAGAACGGCAUUAAUGUGCUGAACUAUUAUGAACCCCCUCCCUCUCCCUAUCUGCAGGUGGUGGCCGCUCAAGAGAGGCUGAAGAAAUGGUACAUGGAAGAGAACAGAAGGAUGCAGGCCUCGAGGGGGAAUCCUUGAGCCGGUCCUUCAACCAACUUCAAGCCUGGCCUUUGUGGGUUGCUGAUUGACACAAUUUUAUGCUAAUAUUUCUACUAUUCAUCACCUCAACAUCAAAGUGAGCCCGGCAUUCCAGAUCGUGUGCUCCUCGAGCCAAGCAAUGGAAAGGCACUGUCACUGUCAGCAGCAGUAGGAUAACCAAAAAAAAACAUUGUGUUAUUUGCUAAGUGCGAGUUUGGCUCAAUUUUCGCUAAGUGAGAGAGAGCCUAUGUUGGCUAAGUGCGACUUUGGCUCAAUUUUGGGCGUAUGCUAAUAUGUUUCACAACAGGGCAGUGCUUGAGAUUUGGGAUAUCUGUAGCGCUAUAACUGACUCAAUUUUGGGCAUAUGCUAAUUUGCUAAGUGCGAACAAAUUCAUGCAGUUAUGGCCAUGCACUACUACACUUCGACAUGUGUGUGUAUAUACUCAGGUUCAUGAAAAUAGUGUGGUAGAUCGAUCGUGGGACUGAACCACAUAUUGAUCACAUCAAUUAGUAAUAAGGGACCUAGCGUCGUAUCGUAUCACAUUCUGCAACCAAACAUGAAAGGAACACAGAGAACACAACCAUAUUCACAGAGCACUACGCUAAUAACUGGAACAAAUUAUUUAGGUGCAAACUGUAUCGUCACCUUAAUCGAACUGGAGUGUCGACGACGAACAGGGCUACUGGAUGACAGGUAGUGUAGUUACGAAGCUGCAAUCACAACGUACAGGAAAAUAUUAGUAAGAAACUAAGAAUACAAGAUGAGGAAUGUUCGAAGUACUGAAUCGAACAGAUCACACCGAUAGCAUUUGAUACAUAUACAUCAAAGAAACACGAUUCGAAGGCAAAAAGGAAUCAAUGUCGCAGCCACAUAGCCGGACGUGGAAGGAUCCAUACCAAGUCAGAAGGGGGAACGAAUAGUACCAGAAGACGAUUCCGUGAAUAACAGCUAAUCGGCCGCGGCGAGAUGAACCACCGGGUACAGAAACAACACCCGCCAGUAAGGUAAGAGGGAAGGAUGGAAGCUUGGAGAGGGGGAAAACGCGAGAACCUGGUGGGGCGCGGCGACGACGGCCUAGCUGGAAGUGGCGGCGGUGAGCAGGCACGAAGGAUGAGAGCGGAACCCUAACGCGCGGGGGAGUGAGGCCACGGGUCUGCUCGGCCGAAUUUUUUUUUGUAUUUUAGCCCUUAAACAGAAGUAAAAUCACGUUUAGACCUAAAAAAAUUUUAAAUGCAGUUUUG
RNAcentral lists this long non-coding RNA (1855 nucleotides) under Zea mays. RNAcentral describes it as "long non-coding RNA (ZMAY_LNC000212)". Lineage: Eukaryota; Viridiplantae; Streptophyta; Magnoliopsida; Poales; Poaceae. The record is from RNAcentral.